Molecule: unclassified non-coding RNA, 21 nt
Filed under: Mus musculus (house mouse)
Lineage: Eukaryota; Metazoa; Chordata; Mammalia; Rodentia; Muridae
Description: oocyte_clustered_small_RNA11382
Source: RNAcentral
CAGUACCAUCAGCUUGCAGGG